UACGGAGGGUGCAAGCGUUGUCCGGAUUUAUUGGGUUUAAAGGGUGCGUAGGCGGCCCGGUAAGUCAGUGGUGAAAGCCUCCAGCUCAACUGGAGAACUGCCAUUGAUACUGCCGGGCUUGAGUACAGACGAGGUUGGCGGAAUUGAUUGUGUAGCGGUGAAAUGCAUAGAUAUCGGGAAGAACACCUAUGGCGAAGGCAGCUCUCUGGGACGGUACUGACGCUGAGACGCGAAAGCGUGGGGAGCGAACAGG
Molecule: ribosomal RNA, 253 nt
Filed under: uncultured bacterium
Lineage: Bacteria
Description: partial 16S ribosomal RNA
Rfam family: Bacterial small subunit ribosomal RNA
Source: RNAcentral